CUAAUAGUAGUGUACUUGACAACUGGUGAGAAAAUCUCGUUAUAAUCAACACCUUCUUUCUGUGUGUAACCCUUUGCUACUAACCUAGCCUUAAACCUUAAGGGUUCUGAACUACUAGUACCUUCUUUAACCUUAAAGACCCACUUGCAAUCGACGAUUGAUUUAUUCUUAGGUCUCGGUACUAACUCCCAAGUUUGAUUCUUUUCUAGAGAACUCAUCUCUUCUUUCAUAGCCUCAAGCCACUCCUUAGAUUGACCACUGUUCAUAGCCUCUUCAAACGUUUCUGGCUCCCUAUCAACUAGUUCUUCGUAACUAGCGUAUGC
RNAcentral lists this long non-coding RNA (323 nucleotides) under Olea europaea subsp. europaea. Lineage: Eukaryota; Viridiplantae; Streptophyta; Magnoliopsida; Lamiales; Oleaceae. The record is from RNAcentral.